RNAcentral lists this long non-coding RNA (291 nucleotides) under Salvia miltiorrhiza (redroot sage). Its description in RNAcentral is "long non-coding RNA (SMIL_LNC001204)". Lineage: Eukaryota; Viridiplantae; Streptophyta; Magnoliopsida; Lamiales; Lamiaceae. The record is from RNAcentral.
AGGGAUUCUGCGGUGGUGGUGAGGGGGCUGAGUUUUGGGGGGUUCCGUGGUGGUGGUUGUCACCGCUAGCCUCGGUGGUGGAGGGUUCUACGGUGGCUCUAGCGAUUGGGUGCGGCGCUGUGGCGAUGGGGGAGAGGGAGAGGGAGAGGAAGAGAGAGAGAUGGCGGAGGCGACGAGGCCGGAGGCGGCGGCGCUUCGCGGCGGGGGCGAAGCAGGAGAUGGCAGAGGCGACGAGGCCGAGGCGGCGGCGCUUCGCCGGCGAUAGCUCGAAGGGAGGGAGAGAGAGAGAGA